CGUGUAGGCGGAGCUGCAAGUCAGAUGUGAAAUCCCGGGGCUCAACCCCGGAACUGCAUUUGAAACUGUAGCCCUUGAGUAUCGGAGAGGCAAGCGGAAUUCCUAGUGUAGCGGUGAAAUGCGUAGAUAUUAGGAGGAACACCAGUGGCGAAGGCGGCUUGCUGGACGACAACUGACGCUGAGGCGCGAAAGCGUGGGGAGCAAACA
This 207-nucleotide ribosomal RNA is filed under the name uncultured bacterium. RNAcentral's name for it is "partial 16S ribosomal RNA". It matches the Rfam family "Bacterial small subunit ribosomal RNA", at positions 568 to 774 of the family's 1533-position model. The record is from RNAcentral.